This 333-nucleotide ribosomal RNA is filed under the name uncultured Bacillota bacterium. Its description in RNAcentral is "bacterial SSU rRNA". It matches the Rfam family "Bacterial small subunit ribosomal RNA", at positions 28 to 351 of the family's 1533-position model. Lineage: Bacteria; Bacillati; Bacillota. The record is from RNAcentral.
GACGAACGCUGGCGGCGUGCCUAAUACAUGCAAGUCGAGCGAACUUGCGGGAGCUUGCUCCCAAAAGUUAGCGGCGGACGGGUGAGUAACACGUGGGCAACCUGCCUGUAAGACUGGGAUAACUUCGGGAAACCGGAGCUAAUACCGGAUGAUUCCUUUCCUCUCAUGAGGAAAGGCUGAAAGAUGGUUUCGGCUAUCACUUACAGAUGGGCCCGCGGCGCAUUAGCUAGUUGGUGAGGUAACGGCUCACCAAGGCGACGAUGCGUAGCCGACCUGAGAGGGUGAUCGGCCACACUGGGACUGAGACACGGCCCAGACUCCUACGGGUGGCAG